This 253-nucleotide ribosomal RNA is filed under the name uncultured bacterium. RNAcentral's name for it is "partial 16S ribosomal RNA". It matches the Rfam family "Bacterial small subunit ribosomal RNA", at positions 524 to 776 of the family's 1533-position model. The record is from RNAcentral.
UACGUAGGGGGCAAGCGUUGUCCGGAAUCAUUGGGCGUAAAGCGCGUGUAGGCGGCUGAGUAAGUCUGCUCUGAAAGCCCGGGGCUCAACCCCGGGAGGCGGGUGGAUACUGCUCAGCUCGAGUCCGGAAGAGGAGUGUGGAAUUCCUGGUGUAGCGGUGAAAUGCGCAGAUAUCAGGAGGAACACCAAUGGCGAAGGCAGCACUCUGGGACGGUACUGACGCUGAGGCGCGAAGGCGCGGGGAGCGAACGGG